This 356-nucleotide ribosomal RNA is filed under the name Photorhabdus sp. Its description in RNAcentral is "bacterial SSU rRNA". It matches the Rfam family "Bacterial small subunit ribosomal RNA", at positions 132 to 480 of the family's 1533-position model. The record is from RNAcentral. Lineage: Bacteria; Pseudomonadati; Pseudomonadota; Gammaproteobacteria; Enterobacterales; Morganellaceae.
GAGGGCGGGGGAUAACCACUGGAAACGGUGGCUAAUACCGCAUAAUGUCGCAAGACCAAAGUGGGGGACCUGAAAGGGCCUCACGCCCGUGGAUGAACCCAGAUGGGAUUAGCUGGUAGGUGGGGUAAUGGCUCACCUAGGCGACGAUCCCUAGCUGGUCUGAGAGGAUGACCAGCCACACUGGGACUGAGACACGGCCCAGACUCCUACGGGAGGCAGCAGUGGGGAAUAUUGCACAAUGGGCGCAAGCCUGAUGCAGCCAUGCCGCGUGUAUGAAGAAGGCCUUCGGGUUGUAAAGUACUUUCAGCGGGGAAGGAAGGGGUUGAUUUGAACAGGGUCAAUUCUUGACGUUACCC